This is a long non-coding RNA of Centruroides sculpturatus (bark scorpion), 395 nucleotides long. RefSeq lists it as uncharacterized. The record is from RefSeq and is a predicted model, not a curated record. The transcript has 3 exons. NCBI's taxonomy places the organism in Eukaryota, Metazoa, Arthropoda, Arachnida, Scorpiones, Buthidae.
AUUGCCUCGUUAAUUAACGAGUUAUUAUUAUUGAAUACUCCAUAUUAACAUUAGAAAUUUAAGAGAAAAUGCAUUAAAGAUUUUUAUUCUCGUUGGUUUAUUAAAUUUCGUCAGUGCCCAAUAUAAAGAGGGUGGUAAUUACGAUGUUUACGUUCGAGCUCUAGUGCCAAAUUAUGGAAAGAACCACCAAGAAGAGGAAUAUUAUGGAAAGGCUACACCUUACAGUUUCGGUUACGACUUGAAGGACGAGCAUGGCAAUAAUCAGUUUCAUAGAGAAGAGAGUGACGAACAUGGUACUAAAAGAGGAUCAUACGGUUACACCGAUGCUUAUGGUAUAUAUCGCCAUGUCGAAUAUGUAGCUGAUGCACUAGGAUUUAGAGCAACGAUAAAAACAA